GACGAACCGUGCGAACGUUAUUCGGAAUCAUUGGGCUUAAAGGGCGCGUAGACGGGUGACCGCGUCGAGUGCUGAAAGCCCCCGGCUCAACCGGGGAACGGGCCUCGAAACGGGUCGCCUCGAGGGGAGGAGGGGGACCUGGAACGUCCGGUGGAGCGGUGAAAUGCGUUGAGAUCGGACGGAACGCCGACGGCGAAAGCAAGGUCCUGGACUCCUACUGACGUUGAGGCGCGAAAGCCAGGGGAGCGAACGGG
Molecule: ribosomal RNA, 254 nt
Filed under: uncultured bacterium
Lineage: Bacteria
Description: partial 16S ribosomal RNA
Rfam family: Bacterial small subunit ribosomal RNA
Source: RNAcentral